Molecule: ribosomal RNA, 253 nt
Filed under: uncultured bacterium
Lineage: Bacteria
Description: partial 16S ribosomal RNA
Rfam family: Bacterial small subunit ribosomal RNA
Source: RNAcentral
UACGUAGGCAGCGAGCGUUGUUCGGAGUUACUGGGCGUAAAGGGUGUGUAGGCGGUUGUUUAAGUUUGGUGUGAAAUCUCCCGGCUCAACUGGGAGGGUGCGCCGAAUACUGAAUGACUAGAGUGCGGGAGAGGAUAGUGGAAUUCCUGGUGUAGCGGUGAAAUGCGUAGAUAUCAGGAGGAACACCGGUGGUGUAGACGGCUAUCCGGACCGUAACUGACGCUGAGGCACGAAAGCGUGGGUAGCAAACAGG